ACAUGCAGUCGAGGGGCAGCAUGAACUUAGCUUGCUAAGUUUGAUGGCGACCGGCGCACGGGUGAGUAACGUGUAUCCAACCUGCCCUUUACUCGGGGAUAGCCUUCUGAAAGGAAGUUUAAUACCCGAUGAAUUCGUUUAGUCGCAUGGCUUGAUGAAGAAAGAUUUAUCAGUAAAGGAUGGGGAUGCGUCCCAUUAGCUUGUUGGCGGGGUAACGGCCCACCAAGGCGACGAUGGGUAGGGGUUCUGAGAGGAAGGUCCCCCACAUUGGAACUGAGACACGGUCCAAACUCCUACGGGAGGCAGCAGUGAGGAAUAUUGGUCAAUGGGCGCGAGCCUGAACCAGCCAAGUAGCGUGGAGGACGACGGCCCUACGGGUUGUAAACUCCUUUUAUAAGGGGAUAAAGUUGGCCAUGUAUGGCCAUUUGCAGGUACCUUAUGAAUAAGCAUCGGCUAAUUCCGUGCCAGCAGCCGCGGUAAUACGGAAGAUGCGAGCGUUAUCCGGAUUUAUUGGGUUUAAAGGGAGCGUAGGCGGGCAGUCAAGUCAGCGGUCAAAUGGCGCGGCUCAACCGCGUUCCGCCGUUGAAACUGGCAGCCUUGAGUAUGCACAGGGUACAUGGAAUUCGUGGUGUAGCGGUGAAAUGCUUAGAUAUCACGAGGAACUCCGAUCGCGCAGGCAUUGUACCGGGGCAUUACUGACGCUGAGGCUCGAAGGUGCGGGUAUCAAACAGGAUUAGAUACCCUGGUAGUCCGCACAGUAAACGAUGAAUGCCCGCUGUCGGCGACAUAGUGUCGGCGGCCAAGCGAAAGCGUUAAGCAUUCCACCUGGGGAGUACGCCGGCAACGGUGAAACUCAAAGGAAUUGACGGGGGCCCGCACAAGCGGAGGAACAUGUGGUUUAAUUCGAUGAUACGCGAGGAACCUUACCCGGGCUUGAAUCGCAGGUGCAUGGG
RNAcentral lists this ribosomal RNA (953 nucleotides) under uncultured bacterium. RNAcentral's name for it is "bacterial SSU rRNA". It matches the Rfam family "Bacterial small subunit ribosomal RNA", at positions 53 to 999 of the family's 1533-position model. The record is from RNAcentral.